RNA transcript from Acipenser ruthenus (sterlet), 5738 nucleotides. It is a transcript of the gene named complement C3-like, with no coding region annotated. The record is from RefSeq and is a predicted model, not a curated record. Lineage: Eukaryota; Metazoa; Chordata; Actinopteri; Acipenseriformes; Acipenseridae. The transcript has 40 exons.
CUAUCCAUGCCAUCAUGAGAGUGGCCACUCUCUACCAUGGGCUGCUGGUCCUGGCUUUCAUUGGACUCUGUGACACUAUUUUUGUCAUGCUGACUCCAAACAUAUUGCGGGUUGGCACCAAGGAGAAUGUGCUUCUUGAGUCUCAUGACUUCUCUGGCGACACAGAGGCACACAUAGUGGUCUUAAACUUUCCAAAGAAAUCUCAUGAGCUCUACAGAGGAACAGUGACUCUGAAUUCAAAUAACAACUUCCAGGCUCUGAAAACUAUUGAGAUUUCUGCUAAUCAGUUGCAGGCGAACCCUCGUGAGAAGCAAUAUGUUUAUCUGCAAGCUAUUUCCCCACAUUUCCUUCUAGAGCAUGUUGUCAUGGUGAGUUUCCACUCUGGGUACAUUUUCACCCAGACAGACAAACCCAUCUACAACCCAUCUGAAACAGUUCACAUCAGAACUUUUGCCAUGACCCAAGCCCUGGCAUCGACCAACAACUCAGUGACAAUUAUGAUUAAGAAUCCAGACAACAUUGUUUUCGAGGAAGUAACCAGGGUGGCUAGUAGUGGUAUCGUUUCCUACAGCUAUAAACUUCCUGAGGUUGUGAAUGUGGGAAUUUGGAAGGUGAUUUCUAAAUAUCACCAGAAAGAAUCAGAAUUUGUAUCCGAAUUUGAAGUGAAGGAGUACGUGCUCCCAAGUUUUGAAGUCCAGCUGAAUCCUCAAAAAAAGUUCUUCCAUGUGGAUGAUAAUGAACUUAAAGUGACGAUUGUUGCUCGUUACCUGUAUGGCGAGGAUGUGGUGGGAGUGGCCUAUGUGGUUUUUGGUGUCAUUGUGAACGGCACAAAAAUAACUAUCCAAAGAGCUCCACACAGAGUGGAUGUUUCAGGAACAGGGACAGUCAGUUUAUUAAAAUCUGACAUCGAAAGCAUCACCACAAAUGGAAAUAUUAGAGAUUUGGUUGAUUACUCCAUUUACAUCAGGGCCACCGUCUUAACGUCUACUGGCAGUGAUUUGGUACAGGCAGAGACAAGUGGACUCAAGAUAGUCACCUCUCCCUAUAAAAUCCUCUUCACCAAAACCUCCAAAUACUUCAAACCUGGAAUGCCAUUCGAUGUCUUGGUUUUUGUGACAAAUCCUGAUGGCACCCCGGCAAGAGGAAUUCCAGUGAAAGUCACCCCAGAAGAAAGUCAUGGAGUAACCCAAAGCAACGGACUGGCUAGACUAGUGGUUAACACAAAAGGUGGCAUUGAAGAACUGAAAAUCACUGUAAAAACUUUUGAUCCAAAUAUUCAGAAUGAUCAACAGGCAUCAAAUGAAAUGACAGCUUCCCCAUACAAACCCAAAAACAUGGAUUUCAAAAACUACUUGUACAUCAAUAUAAGGGCAGCAGAAAUGUCUCCGGGAGAAGACCUUCAUUUUGAAAUCAAUCUCCAGAAUGAUGACAGCACUGUAAAAAACGACAUUGAAUAUUUUUCAUAUCUAGUUAUAAACAAAGGGAGAAUAAUCCAGACUGGGAGGAAGAAACGAGACGUAGGACAGAUUGUGAUCGCCAUGUCUCUGACCGUCACAAAGGCAAUGGUCCCGUCAUUCCGAAUUGUGGCAUACUAUUACGUAAAAAAGGGUGGCCAAGAAGAACUAGUGUCUGAUUCAGUGUGGGUGGACGUGACAGACUCUUGCAUUGGAGAGCUUCUUGUGGAGCCUCACCGUUCUACUGACGUGGGCAAGAUUUACAGACCUGGCAAUUCUUUUGAACUCAAAAUUAGCGGUGACCCAGGAGCAAAAGUGGGGCUCGUGGCCGUGGAUAAAGCUGUGUUUCUCUUAAACAAUAAGAACAAGCUGACACAGAGCAAGAUCUGGGAUGUGAUUGAGAAGGAUGACCUAGGCUGUACCCCGGGUGGAGGUGGUAAUAGCAUGGGGGUCUUCACUGACGCUGGGCUGCAAGUGAAAACAAACUUGGAUAUUGCCACACAACCAAGAACAAACCCUAAAUGCCCGGAACCACAAAAAAGACGACGCCGUUCAGUGAUUCUGAUAGAGCACAAAACAAACCUAGCGAGUAAAUAUAAGGACGAGACUCAGAACAAAUGCUGUCGAGAUGGUAUGAACGACAUUCCCAUGGAUUACAGCUGUGAGAAGAGGGCCCAGUACAUCACAGCAGGCGACGAGUGCAUCAAGGCCUUCCUGCACUGCUGUACGGAGAUCAGCAAGAGAAAGAAAGAAAUGCAUACUGGGACACUGGAGCUGUCUCGAAGUCAGGAGUCAGACAUGGUUUCUGAGGAUGAUGUCAGAAUCCGGACACACUUUGACGAAAGCUGGCUGUGGCAGGUGGAAACAUUAUCAUGGGAUCCCAAGGGCAAUCGUCUGUCUUCUACAAAGGUGAAAGGGACACUGAAGGAUUCCAUCACUGAAUGGGAGAUCCUGGCCAUCAGUAUUUCCCCAGAUAAAGGUAUCUGUGUAGCCAAACCCUUUGAUUUGAUAGCCAAAAUGGAAUUCUUUAUCGAUUUGAAGCUGCCCUACUCCGUAGUUAGAAAUGAACAAGUUGAAAUAAAGGCAGUACUCUACAAUUAUGGCAGUGAUCGACUUAAGGUCCGUGUGGAUCUGAUGGAAAACAGUCUUAUCUGCAGCGCAGCAAGUCACAAAACCCGGUUCAGACAGGACGUGUACAUCGAUGAGUUGUCGUCACUUGCCAUCCCCUUCACUAUAGUGCCUCUGCACUUGGGAGAGAUGGAUAUUGAAGUGAAAGCCAUCGUCUACAACAACAUAUUAUCUGAUGGAGUGAAGAAAAAAUUGUUGGUGGUGCCUGAGGGAACCCUAAUCAAAAAACACAUUCAAACUGUUAUUUUGAAUCCAGCAGCUGCAAAAGGUGCAAAACAAGUCGUGUCAUUUGGUAAAAUUAAUCUCAACUCAGUUGUUCCUGACACUAAACCUCAGACCUUCAUCGACAUCCGAGGUGAGCUUCUAGCAGAAACCGUUGAUCAUUCUAUUGACGGAAAUAUACUGGUACACCUCAUACGCAUGCCUGGUGGUUGUGUGGAGCAGAACAUGGCAAGUAUUACUGCCCCUGUGAUUGCAACUCACUACCUGGACAAGAGUUACCAAUGGGAAUCGGCAGGGUUUGAACGACGCCAGCAAGCCAUUAAGUUCAUUCAGCAAGGAUAUCAAAAUCAACUGGCAUAUCGCAAACCAGAUGGCUCUUAUCCACCGUACAGAACAAUGGAGUCUAGCACCUGGCUGACGGCAUACGUAGUUAAGGUGUUCUCUAUGGCUUCUUCCUUAAUAUCAGUACAGGAAGAUAUGCUGUGUGAAGCUGUGAAAUUUCUGAUUCUGAAAAAACAGCUACCGAACGGAGCCUUCACAGAAGAUGCCCCUGUUACAGAUGUUUACAUAACGACGGGAGGAUUAAAGGGAGGCGAGGGCCAUGUUACUCUCACUGCGUUCAUCGUCAUAGCCAUGGCAGAGGCUCGACCUUUUUGUGAACACUCUGUACCCAGUCUGAGAAGCAGCAUUGACAAAUCCGUCCUCUUUUUGGAGGUUCAACUUCAUGGCCUUCAAAGGCCGUAUUCUGCAGCGAUAUCCUCAUACGCAUUAGCCCUCGCAAGAAAUGGAAACCGGGGAAAUAACCUUAAGGAAUAUCUCAUGAGGUUUGCAUCAGCAGAUAAGACUUACUGGCCCGAACCUGCUAGCAGGGAGUACACAUUGGAGGCCACAGCCUACGCACUCUUGGCUCUUGUGACAAUUGGAGAAAAGCAGUCUGUGGAGCCCAUUGUGGAAUGGCUGUUACCACAAAUGAGGUCUGGUGGCGGAUUUGGCACAACACAGACCACCAUGAUCACUUUCCAGGCACUGGCUGCAUAUAUGGAGACUGUACCUCAGGAUAGAGAUGUGGAUCUGGAUGUUGCAAUCACCUUGUCUGGCCGGAGCAAGGAUGUGAGCUGGAAGUUUGUCCCUAGUAAUGUUUAUGUGGCCAAAUCACAAAGGGCAAAUAUUGACCAGAACAUCACUGUGACUGCUUCAGGGAAAGGCAAGGGUAUCAUGACAGUGACGACAAUCUAUAAUGCUUUGCAAGAUGAGCAGGUGGCAAAGGAUGAUUGCAAGAAAUUUGUUUUGACAACAGAGAUUACCAGGGCAUCAAAUGUUUUGCAUGCACCUUCUGGAGCCCAUGAAACAUAUACACUCAAGAUCUGCAUGCAGUAUCAGGAUGAGAAAGACUCCACAAUGACGAUAUUGGACGUAUCUAUGCUAUCUGGCUUUGCAGCCGAUCUAGAAGACCUUAAAAGACUGACAAACCAAGUGGACCAGUAUAUCCAGAAUUAUGUGAUUGAAAGAGAACUGACAAACGGGUCCCUCAUCAUUCACCUGUACCGGGUUCCACAUAAGAGCCUAGAGUGCAUCAGUUUUAAUAUACAUCAGAUGUUCAAGGUGGGAAUGCUACAGCCUGCUGCCAUUACUAUCUACGAGUACUAUUCACCCGAGAAUCGAUGUACGAAAUUCUACCACCCGGAUAAAAACCCAGCUGUCCUUUCGCAGAUUUGUAAGGGAGAAGUCUGCAAAUGUGUUGAAGAAACCUGCAGUUCUCUUAUUAAACUGAAUAAAUCGAUUACUUCGAGUGACCGACAGAAAGAAGCAUGUAAACCAGGAGUUGAUUAUGUGUACAAAGUAAGAGUAGAGGAGAUUGAUCUAUCAAAGGGAUAUGAUGAGUACACUAUGGAAGUAGUAGAGGUCAUUAAACAAGGUAUUUAUUCACUUUUGCACUGUUUUAUUUUAGGAAGAAACACUGCGUAAAAUAGAUUUGGUUGCAGAAGUUCCUAAAAAAAUGACUAUCAAAGAGGUAUUAUGCAAUGGGUUAGGGUUAGAGUUAAGGUAAAUGUAUAUAUGACGUUUGGUUUUGGAUUUGAAAUGUAAUAAUUUAAUACAUAAAUUGUACAUGUGUCAUCAGCCAUCAAUUAUUUUUUAAUUUUCAGUUUGUAACCAGUGAUGUACAGUAGAAACAAUAGGCACUCAGUUGUGAAAAGGUUAGACCACUUUGUGCUUUAAUUAGCCAUCAUAUAUCAUUUCUAUUUGUGGCUAUGUGUUCCUUUUCCGACAGGUGGAAUGGGUGCAAUUUAAGUAAAGGUAAAUGACGCAGAUGACAGUAUUUACGUCAUUUCAGGACUUGAUCAAGUGACAGGUGGGAUUGAAAGGUAGUAAAUCAAAACAGAGAUGGAGAAACAAGAUACAUAAUAGAAGAUAACAAUAAAGCAAGUACGUGAGGACAUGGUAAAAAAAGUGAUUUUAGGGAGGUCAUUUUAAUGUAGCCUAAUUUUGAAUGUAUGUUCUGUAUUAAUUAAAUUAUAGUUUCAUCUACCUGGUUUUGGCAGAUAUUUUAUACCAAAACGAAAAAUAAAUUCAGAGAGAGAGAGAGAGAGAGAGAGAGAGAGAGAGAGAGAGGUGUUUAAUUAUUUAUUUAUUUAUUUCCAUUUUGGCAUAAUAGGAUCUCAUACAAACAACCGUGGCAAAGAUUGCCAGGGCUGUGAGUGAUACCGGCAAUGCAGGACCCCUCAGGGUGCUUGACUCUAAAGAAUGACAGGGCGAUGAAUGAUACCGGCAAUGCAGGACCCCUCAGGGUGCUUGACUCUAAAGAAUGACAGGGCUGUGAGUGAUACUGGCAAUGCAGGACCCCUCAGGGCACUGAUGUGUUCCACGAUGAUAGAAAAAGGACAUACACGGCUCACAGCAGCUGCAGACAGCCUCUGGAUCUAAGGAAGGGCAGAC